This 618-nucleotide ribosomal RNA is filed under the name Triticum aestivum (bread wheat). RNAcentral's name for it is "partial small subunit ribosomal RNA". Lineage: Eukaryota; Viridiplantae; Streptophyta; Magnoliopsida; Poales; Poaceae. The record is from RNAcentral.
AUGGGCCAAAUAGCCAUCGCAACUGCUACAUCAGGUAUUGCGGCGUUGAUAAUGCAUGGAGGACGAACAACACAAUCCAGGCAGAGUGAUACAGCUGAGUUGCUUAAACAAGCGUCUUUGAUAAUUUGGGAUGAAGUCGCUAUGACAAAACGUCAAGCAGUUGAGACGCUUGAUAGAUCACUACAAGAUAUAAUGGAAAGUCGUUUGCCGUUUGGGGGAAAGGUUGUAGUCUUUGGUGGUGAUUUCAGGCAUGUCCUUCCUAUUGUGACACAUGGGACAAGAGCACAGUUUGAUCCUUGGUUCUCCAAAUACCUCAUAAGGAUCGGCAAUGGAACGGAAGAGACAAUUGGAGACGACUAUGUUCGUCUCCCUGACGACAUUGUGAUCGGCUAUACCGAGGAUGAAAAAGCUAUUAACACACUCAUCGAAGAUGUAUUCCCAUCGUUGCAUGCCAAUGCUAGAUCGAGAGAGUACAUGAGUGCACACGCAAUUCUUUCGACCAAGAACGAUCAUGUGGAUGACCUGAAUGACAAGAUGAUCUCAAGGUUUCCAGGCGAAGAAAAGUCAUACCAUAGUCAAUUGUCCGGUCAUUCUGCUCCGGAACCUCGACCCUCAUAA